UACAUCCACAUCUCUUUAUCUUUAGUCUCCCAACUAUAUUACCUGCUCCUCUUGCCCCCCUGAAAGCCAAACUCCACACCAUAGAGCAGGGUUGGCAAAUGUUUUCUUUAAAGGAUCAGAUAGCAAAUACUUGAGGCUUUGCAGGCCACGUGGUCUCUGUUGCAACUACUCAGGUCUGCUGCUGUAGACCGAAAGCAGCCACAGACUUAAGAUUUAAGAUGGGUAAGAUGCUUAAGCAAAUAGGUGUGGCUGUGUUUCAAUAAAACUUUAUUUACAGUAAUAGGUAUGUUUUGUGCUCAUCUCAGCCUAUCGAUAGUGAUGCUAUUGGCUAGAAAUGCCUGGGGCGAGAGAUCGAUCCAUUUAGGGGACCACUUGCCUGAAAGUAGUUUAAGGAGUCUCUCUUCAAGAAGGCCAUGAUCGUGCUCAAUGGGGCCAGCCACCUGGGGGCCGUAAGCCAGAUGGAAGUUCCAGAAAAUAUUCUGUUGGGGAGCCCACUGGUGAGUCUUGAGAAGUAAAUGAGUACCCUGGUCCAUCAGUACCCUGCUCUGUCAAUCCAAAGGGAACAAGAAUAAAUUCAUAAAGUAAGGAGAGAGAGUACCUCUUUUGAAGAGGAAUUCCAGGGGGGUCGCCAAGAGGAGUCCCCAUAUUGAUGAUUGUGACUGACAGCAUACCUGGAAGCUCCCACAGAAGGGCACAGUGGGCCAAGGGAAGCAAUCUGCCAGCAGGAGUGUGGUCGGUCUCCCUGGGAACUCUAUCCCCAUCUGGACAGCCUCUGGUGUUGGGUCUGGGAGCAGAGAAUGCACUGGUCUUUCCCUGCCUUGGCUGCCACAGAGGAGCCUCUCCCUUGAGCACAGGUUGUUGAGGCUUGAAUUUCCCCAAUGAUGGAGGUCGUGUGGGCCCAUUUAUGAGUUGGUGGGCAGGGUUGGGUCCUUGAGGCGCCUGCACUGGGCAUGGUGAGGGAGUCUGCAUUGUGAUUGAAAAAGGCUUCUGGUGUGGAGUGCUGUGAGCAGAAACAGGAGUGGCAAUGACAGGAAUUGAGGACCUCUGCUAAAUCCUUCCAUAUCUUGGCACCCGGAUGCACUAGCCUUGUAUGAGAAAAUUGUCCCCUAGCCACUGGCCAGACCAAACUGCAAGACCAUUAGCAACGGCCGAGGAGUCUGUGGACAUGUGGAUCUGCGAAAGGCCCCUUUUUAUGGCCUCCUUGAGGGCUGAGUGAGCAGCUACAAGUUCAUCAGUCGGGGUGAGCUUGGAGUGCCCUCUUAACCAGAGUUCCCUGAGGCGGGGUGGAAUGCCAGCCCUCCGGCGAGCUGCAUGGCCUACCAUGGUGGUGCUGCCAUCGGUGAAGAACACAGACUCCCUGUCCAUCUCGGACAAGUGGUCCCAAGGGGCUCCCCAAAUAACCAUGGGAGGAGGAAGCAGGGGUGCUGCUCUUACUUCCUCAAGGCUCUCGGGCAAGGGGCUGAGCGUGGGGGAAGCCACAUCCUCCUGUAAUUUGGAAAGGCCUUUGACAUCAGGGUUAGUCCUCUCCUGAAGGUACCACCUCCAUUUUACCAAGGAGGCAUCAGUGGCGUGCCAAGCUUCUGCUGGGAGGCAUCUCUAACCCAGGGCAUUAGAGGAACCUGCGCACAGAGUAUUGCCAGGUGGGGCUGGUUAGGGCAUCAGUUUCUAUAGGACGCCAAAAGCUAGCACUUAAAGGGAGCAUUUCAGGCUGCUGCUGGGGGUAGGCACUUAGUCCAAAACCCCAUAGGAAGCCACCCAAACUCAUGUUUGAUCCAGAGACUCCAGGAGGCAUAGUCGGGUGUGGCCAAGGACUCGACUUGGAGUGUGGAGCCAGGGAGGGACUACAGGGUGAAGAAUUUGUAAGAGAUGAGACAUAGCAGUGUUGCUUCCAGAACAUGAAGAGUCCUAGCAUGUGCUGUGCCUGUCUGAGUGUAGUGGGUGAUGGAAUGUUAUUGUUUUGCUCUGAUACUUUGCAAAAGUAUUUCAUCUUCAAGGAGAUUUCUGGAAAGGACUUUUGACAGAAUUACUAACAGCAAAGACUGCCCUUGAAUCUCCUUGGAAGAGACUAUACCAGUUCCUCCUCACUACUCAAAUGGCAGUCAGACUCCAGGCACUUGAGCCUUGAGCCUACAUUUUGCAGCUGACAAAGACUCCACCUGUACAAAUGCUGAAGACCUCUUAUCAAACGACUAGGAUGAGAUGCAGCUGACAUCGAGGUUGACCGCUUCCUCCCAAGACACUGGAUCAAGACUUCAUGCUUUAAACCUGAAAACCUUACCUCUUCCUUUCUUUCCUUUACUCUGACAUUGGCCUGGAAAGAACACCAUCAUCCAUAUCUCCCAGGCCAUUGCUAACGGAGGGUAACACUUCAGACUGCUAGACCUGUAAUCAAAAACUCUAAUCUAUAUGCGAGAGACCCCCUGGUCUGUUUCCCUGUCUCUGGUUAAGAGCUUCAAACUUGGGGAACUUUGUAUCCAGGCUCUAUGCAAAGAAAGGGACACAAGGCAAGGGUAAGCAGAAUAAAACUGCCUGUGUGGUCUACAGACCCUUACAUUACUGCCUCCAAGGCCUGAGCCACAGAUUCAAACAGGAGUUACCAGGAGGCAUUCAGGAUUCAGGAUUCGCUUCCACUAGCAGAACCCUACUGCCCUGGUUAGAAGUAAAUGUAAGUGAGGCUAUGAGGAGAAACCUCUCCUUAACUCUUGAAAGUAUUGCAGAAUCUGCUGCUAAAGCAAUAAGCUGCCUAACAAAAAUUCUUAGACUCUCUGGCCAAAGUUGUUCUUGACAACAGGAUAGCCCUUGAUUAUCUUUUAGCUGAGCAAGGAGGUGUCUGUGCUGUGGCCCGCACCACCAGCGGCACCUGGAUUAACACUCUGGGGAAGUCGAAAGUCAGUUACAUAAAAUCAUUUAAGCCACUCCGCUUAAAAAGGUGACUCCUUCAAAAGGGUGUUUCUGUGAUUUGUUUGAUUUUGAGUGGCUUGGGUCUUGGGGACCAUGACUCCAAAAUGCACUCCAAAUAUUGGGAAUUAUCCUACUUAUAAUAAUCAUAAUAACCUCCCUGGUGCAUUGUAUUCUCUCAAAAACUUUAAACACACGUUUUUAGACGUUAACCACCAAGCAAAUGAUCUCCCUAAGACUGGAACGUCAGAAAGGAACACAGAGAAUGACCAACUUGAAGAAUGUGAGCCUGAGGCCGUGACCUGUGAAUGCCGCACAGAGGAUCAGCAAAAACUGUGAGAACUUGAGAGCAGUAGCCGACACUGGUGUUAAUGCCGUAUAUUUUUAUCACAUCUCUCAAUUAAGCCGAGAGUCUGAUCAAAAAGGAGGGAAUGGUUAAAAAGUAACGUCAGGCACCAAAUGGAGUCACUCGUGCCAAGCUCACGUAACCAAACUUAGACUUAAUACCUAGUCUAAUUGUAGUUUCAACCUUCCCCAGGAGUGUAACCUUAACUGGUCAGUCUGGGAUUUCCUGGUCAGCACUAGUGUGAUAAUCUGCCUAAUAGAUGCCUUUUGUCCCCCACAGGAAGAUGACCUUGCUGGAAAUAAUCCUUCUUUUUGUUUAUGACUUCCUUGUCCCACCCCUUCCCUGCCUUUAAAAAUCUUUCUUUUUCUGUAGCUCUGUGGACCCCCUUUCUCCUUGCUAGGGGGGGUUGCUGCUCGACUCAUGGAUCAUUGAAUAAAGCCAAUUUCAUCUUCAAAUUUACUCAGCUGAAUUUUGUUUUUUUAACAGUUCUCUUUCACGACUCCCCAACUCUGUCACUGUCGCAUAGACCUUGCGGCUGUAGACAA
Molecule: long non-coding RNA, 3789 nt
Filed under: Equus asinus (donkey)
Lineage: Eukaryota; Metazoa; Chordata; Mammalia; Perissodactyla; Equidae
Description: lncRNA (ENSEASG00005026905.1)
Source: RNAcentral